CCCAAUCUAAUGGCUGGUGUUUUUUAUAAGAGGAGAAGACAGAGAGAGACACACAAGGGGACUGUUAUAUAAACACAGAACAGAGAUUGGAACAAUGCGUCUACAAGCCGGGGAGCACCAAGGACUGCUGGCAACCACCAGAAGCCAGGUGAAUGCCUUGGAUCAGAUUCUCAGAGCCUCCAAAAGGAACCAGUCCUGCUGACACCUCAGUAUCUGGCUUCUGGCCUCCUAAACGACAGGCCUUUUGAAAAGAGAUCAUUUCUGAGAUGAACCCAGUCUGGUUGCUGCCCACAGUACCCUGAGGCACAUGAGAAGCCUGCCCCUUGCCAUGCUGGAGAGGCUCUUCCAGACAGAGUUUCGCUGUUGUUACCCAGGCUGGAGUGCAAUGGCGUGAUCUCCGCUCACCGCAACCUCUACCUCCUGGGCUCAAGCAAGUCUCCUGCCUCAACCUCCCGACUAGCUGGGACUACAGGUGCGCGCCACCAUGCCCAGCUAAUUUUUGUAUUUUUAGUACAGACAGUGUUUCACCUUGUUGGCCAGGAUGGUCUCAAUCUCUUGACCUCGUGAUCCACCUGCCUCAGCCUCCCAAAGUGCUGGGAUUAUUGGCGUGAGUCACCGCACCUGGCCAUUUCUGUUGUUUUAAGUCGCCAAUUUUGUGGUAAUUUAUUUCAGUAGCCCUAGGAAACUAACACACCACUACCUACUAUUUCUGUACCCGUUUUUUGCUCUAACAAGAAUACAGGUCCCACAGAUGUCAGGAAUCUCAGUCUUAUUUCUCUUUGGAUUUUCCUUUGCAGAGUGCUUUGACACAGAGACAUUUAUUAUAGAUUUGCUGCAAUGAAGGCAUUGAUAAUUAGCUUUAAUUUGAAAUCACUUCAGAGCAAAUUGGAAAUUUAUAAUAAACACAGAAGUGUGAAUGGAAGAAAUGAAUAAUUAUAUGCUAUUUACCUACUACUAUUGUUUCUGCCACAUAAUAGAUCCCCUCUCCCAUUAACUUCAAGUUCUCACUCAAUUAUUUGGGUCAGUUCAUAUUCUUUAGAAACAGCCUGCAUCUUUAUUCAACCCAUUUAAGCUUCAUCUCAUGGAGUGAACUGAUUAAACAAAAACUAAGUAAAAUAAAAACAAUUCCAAAACUGCAAGUAAACAGGAAAUUAUUAAAAAAUUACUUGGAUAAUGGAUAUUCAGAAGAAUGUAAUUAUAUUUUAAUUUAUUGGUAGAGAACUAAUUGUUCAAUUAUUAGAAUACACAAAAGGAAAGAUAACGUGGGUCUUGUUUUAUGAAGUAUUGUGUGUGUGUGUGUGUGUGAGUGUGUGUGUGUGUGUGUGUGUGUGUGUGUGUUUGAAUUUCUCAGGGCAGAGUUCUGUGACUAAGACCUUUAUUUUAUUGCAUUUUUACCUUGACCAUUUAUUUUUAAAAUAUCUCUCUGUUACUUAGGCUGAAAAAAGCUUUUGGAGAUAAACUAUCAUACAAUAAAAAGAAUCUUAUUCAACAUAUAAAGUGGUAUUAAUUUAAGAUGAAGAAAGUGAGAUUAAUUUAUUGAAGCAACUUAAAUGUGGGAAUGCAAAACAAGGAAUUAACUCUAUCAGUUUUGUCCAUUGUUCAAAUUGGAUUAUAUAUGUGAUUGCAUAUUAAAAAAAAGAAGUGAAAGAAAAUAUUUCUGACUUUUAUUAGAAAUUUUACGGUCUCACGUUAAACGUUUUGCAUGGAACUUUCUCUUCAGUGGGGAUUGCAAUUGUCACUUCUAAAUUAUUGCAAACUCCACUUUGGUGGGUCUCAGAUUAAUGAGGACUGACUGUGUCCUCAUUAAUAUGACUUCCCACAAAAUGGGAAGGUCAUAUAUGGACGGUGCUUUCUUGUUUCUUUCCUAAUAAGUCAUUCCCAGAUGGUGAAUUACACCCCAGAGACUGAAGUUUUUCAAGUUUGAUAAUUUUUUCCAUCUUACUUCCUGCUGAUCGAUAUGGCUACCAAAAGCAGCUUUCUGCAAUGAAUACAAUUUAGCUAAUGAGGAAAUAGGCCACACUUACCUUUGAAUUAUGAAUCCUGUGCUGAGAAAGAGGCUUCUCCAUAUGUCACUUUCAUUGGAACAACUGAAAGGAGGAUUCAUAUUAUUAUUUCAUUUUAACCAGAAUGGCUGAAGUUGUUGCCUUCCAUAUUGGUGGCAUUUUGUGUGGAUGAGUAAAUAAUCUUUGAAAGUGGAAACUUCCUGACAAUAAAAUGUUACUGGCCAGUGGCAGUCAGGAAGGGAAGGUCUGGUUCAGUCUCUUUUUAAAAAUAUUUUUGUUUCUGUUUUUUUUGAUUGACUGUGCGCCAAAUGUUUGAUCUUUAGAUGUGACAAAGAUUCUCUACUUGACCAAAUGCUAGCCAGUUUCCUGUGUGCCAUCUUUUCAACUAGACCUCAACUUUAACCUAUAAAAAUAUGGACAGACACUAACAUAGUUUUGAAUAGCUCAGUCAUAUCCACGGGAUGAUUAUAACCCCCUUUAAAGUGCCUGCCUGAGAAAACUUAAGGCUGCCAGAAGAAUGUACUGCUUGUUCCAGCUAACAUGUGAAGAGGGGCCCCUGACAACCAGUCUCUGUGAGAGUCUAGACGCCUAAAUUCAGUAAGCACCAGCUAUCAAACCUAAAUGGGUGUUGCAUGGGCCAACCCCCACUACCUGGUCUUUGUAAUUUUUCACUUCUCUGGCUCAACUGAGCUCGGCUCACCCAUCUCCCUACACCUUGAUUCUCCCUUUACAACAUCUAGU
Callithrix jacchus (white-tufted-ear marmoset) is the source of this 2744-nucleotide long non-coding RNA. RefSeq lists it as uncharacterized. Lineage: Eukaryota; Metazoa; Chordata; Mammalia; Primates; Cebidae. The record is from RefSeq and is a predicted model, not a curated record.